AUACAGCUUGACGUUUUGCAAAUCCUUCUUUUAUUCACGGCCUUGCACCGGAGUACUCACGUUUCUGAAUCCGAAGUUAUCGAUUGAAUCCCAAGAGCUGUACUCGUUUUACUAAUAAAAUCUUUUCGGCUUUUAGCCUAGAAAUAUGAGAGCAAAGUGGCGUAAGAAGCGUAUGCGAAGGCUAAAGCGUAAACGUAGGAAGAUGCGUGCGAGGUCUAAAUAAUAUGGGUACAUGAGCGGGGGUGAGGAGAUUGCUUCUAUGUUUAUGUAUCUAAUAAAAAUAUAAAAAAUC
Long non-coding RNA from Colias croceus (clouded yellow), 292 nucleotides. RefSeq lists it as uncharacterized. Lineage: Eukaryota; Metazoa; Arthropoda; Insecta; Lepidoptera; Pieridae. The transcript has 3 exons. The record is from RefSeq and is a predicted model, not a curated record.